Molecule: ribosomal RNA, 476 nt
Filed under: uncultured bacterium
Lineage: Bacteria
Description: bacterial SSU rRNA
Rfam family: Bacterial small subunit ribosomal RNA
Source: RNAcentral
UGAACGCUGGCGGCAGGCCUAACACAUGCAAGUCGAGCGAGAAAGCACUUCGGUGUGAGUACAGCGGCGGACGGGUGAGUAACGCGUAGGAAUCUACCUGGUAGUGGGGGACAACUUGGGGAAACCCAAGCUAAUACCGCAUACGCCCCAUGGGGGAAAGCGGGGGACCUUCGGGCCUCGCGCUAUCAGAUGAGCCUGCGUAGGAUUAGCUUGUUGGUGAGGUAAAGGCUCACCAAGGCGACGAUCCUUAGCUGGUCUGAGAGGAUGAUCAGCCACACUGGGACUGAGACACGGCCCAGACUCCUACGGGAGGCAGCAGUGGGGAAUAUUGCGCAAUGGGGGCAACCCUGACGCAGCCAUGCCGCGUGUGUGAAGAAGGCCUUCGGGUUGUAAAGCACUUUCAAUUGGGAAGAAAGGUUGUUGCUUAAUACGUAACAGCUGUGACGUUACCUUUAGAAGAAGCACCGGCUAACUCC